AUCUUUGCGCUUGGGGCAAUGACGCAGCUAGUGAGGUUCUAACCGAGGCGCGUCUAUUGCUGAUUGAAAACUAUUUCCAAACCCCCUCUUCGGCCCUGGAUUGCCCAGGGCUGUCGAGAAUUUUUGGAUGGGCUCCCCUCGGGUAUAGCC
Molecule: small nuclear RNA, 150 nt
Filed under: Olea europaea subsp. europaea
Lineage: Eukaryota; Viridiplantae; Streptophyta; Magnoliopsida; Lamiales; Oleaceae
Description: U4 spliceosomal RNA
Rfam family: U4 spliceosomal RNA
About the family: U4 small nuclear RNA (U4 snRNA) is a component of the major U2-dependent spliceosome. The structure of U4 snRNA from yeast and human has been reported. U4 snRNA presents a k-turn RNA motif in the 5p-SL related to recognition of Snu13 protein.
Source: Rfam by way of RNAcentral